UUUUUUUAAGAGUUUGAUCCUGGCUCAGGAUGAACGCUGGCGGCGUGCCUUAGGCAUGCAAGUCGAACGGCCGGAGAUCAGAAACCGGAAGUCGGAUGCCGGAAUUCAGAAAUCGGAUUUGCUAUAGUUGUGUGUAUGGAGGUAAGUAAAUUAAGGGUUUACAGACAAUGUCUGCAAGCUUUUCAGAUGGUUGAAGAUAUUGCUAAGGAUUUACCCCCAGAGCUAUUUGACACAAAAAGACAAAUAUUGCGCAGUUCAAAAGCUAUUGCGCCAAUAAUUGCCGAAGGUUUUGGCAGAAAAAGAUCUCAACGCGAGUUCUAUAAAUACGUUAUAGAUGCUAUGAGUUCUUCUGAUGAAACCAUUACACAUUUACGUACUAUUGCAAUGUCCAAAUUUAAUACAAUUCCGAUUGAGAAAUUGAAGAAAACUGCAGAAGUGUACAAGUCUAUUUCUAGACAGCUUAAUAAAUUAUCUUCAACUAUUAAAUCGAAGCUUGUAAUCUGAAUUCCGAAAUCUGAUAUCUGGUUUCUGGUAUCUGAUCUCCGGCAGUGGCGGAAGGGUGAGUAACGCGUGGGAACGUACCUUUUGGUGGAGCAUAGCCUUCCGAAAGGAGGGGUAAUACUGCAUAAUCCCAAGGCUUCGCCUUGUGAAAUUCGAAGCACGAAUAUCGAGACUCGAAACAAAUCACGAUGUUCAAAUUUUCAAAAUCCAAAACGUUUUGAUCAUUUGGAUUUUAGGAUUUAAGUAUUGUUUCGGAUUUCGGAUUUAGAAUUUAGAAUUUCCCAAAGUGGAGCUUUGGGCAAAGGGCUUAACCGCCCGCCGAAAGAGCGGCCUACGUCCUAUCAGCUUGUUGGUGGGGUAAAAGCCUACCAAGGCGAUGACGGGUAGCUGGACUGAGAGGUCGGUCAGCCACAAGGGAACUGAGACACGGUCCCUACACCUACGGGUGGCAGCAACUAGGAAUUUUGGACAAUGGGCGAAAGCCUGAUCCAGCGACGCCGCGUGGGGGAAGAAGGCCUUCGGGUUGUAAACUCCUUUUGUCCCGUGUAAUGCGGGAAGAAUAAGCACCUGCUAACUACGUGCCAGCAGCCGCGGUGAGACGUAGGGUGCAAGCGUUAUCCGGAUUUACUGGGCGUAAAGGGUUGCGUAGGCGUCCAGCUGCAUCUUGUCUGAAAGCCCUCCGCUUAACGGGGGAUCCGGACAGGAAAUGGGCUGGAUUUGAGGUUCAUAGAGGUAGCCGGAACUUGCAGUGGAGCGGUGAAAUGCGUUGAUAUUGCAAGGAACACCGAUGGCGUAGGCAGGCUACUGGGUGAAAUCUGACGCUGAUGCACGAAAGCUAGGGGAGCGAAGCGGAUUAGAGACCCGCGUAGUCCUAGCCGUAAACGAUGGACACUAGCUGUCCGCCAAUUGGUGGAUGGCGCAAGCUAACGCGUUAAGUGUCCCGCCUGGGGAGUACGGCCGCAAGGCUAAAACUCAAAGGAAUUGACGGGGACCCGCACAAGCGGUGGAGCAUGUGGUUUAAUUCGAAACAAAGCGAAAAACCUUACCAGGGUUUGACAUCCUAACUGCACGUUCGCCGAAAGGCGGAUUUCUUCGAGAGUGUUAGGACAGGUGCUGCAUGGCUGUCGUCAGCUUGUACCGUGAGGCGCACCCUUAAGUGGGUUAACAAGCGCAACCCCCAUCCCAUGUUAAAUAUCAUGGGAAACUGCCCGCUAAAAGCGAGGAGGAAGGCGGGGAUGACGUCAAGUCAGCACGGCCCUUAUGCCCUGGGCUACACACAUCCUACAAUGGGUGUAUAACAACGGGUUUGCAACUAGGUAACUGGAAGCUAAUCCUCCAAAAGCAUCCUCAGUUCGGAUUGAGGGCUGCAAUUCGCCCUCAUGAAGCUGAAAUCGCUAGUAAUCGCGGAUCAGCAGGCCGCGGUGAAUACGUUCUCGGGUCUUGUACACACCGCCCGUCAAGCCAACAAAGUCGGGGGUGCCCGAAGUGUCUA
This 1993-nucleotide ribosomal RNA is filed under the name Candidatus Curtissbacteria bacterium RIFOXYA1_FULL_41_14. RNAcentral describes it as "bacterial SSU rRNA". The stretch from base 461 to 1993 matches the Rfam family "Bacterial small subunit ribosomal RNA". RNAcentral also lists the same sequence under 5 other names. The record is from RNAcentral. Lineage: Bacteria; Candidatus Curtissiibacteriota.